This 471-nucleotide ribosomal RNA is filed under the name uncultured bacterium. Its description in RNAcentral is "bacterial SSU rRNA". It matches the Rfam family "Bacterial small subunit ribosomal RNA", at positions 28 to 507 of the family's 1533-position model. The record is from RNAcentral.
GAUGAACGCUGGCGGCGUGCCUAACACAUGCAAGUCGAGGGGCAACAUGAUUUUAGCUUGCUAAAAUUGAUGGCGACCGGCGCACGGGUGAGUAACGCGUAUGUAACUUGCCUACCAGAGGGGGAUAGCCCGGCGAAAGUCGGAUUAAUACCGCAUAAAACAGGGGUUCCGCAUGGAAAUAUUUGUUAAAGGAUUACCGCUGGUAGAUAGGCAUGCGUUCCAUUAGAUAGUUGGUGGGGUAACGGCCUACCAAGGCGACGAUCAGUAGCCGACCUGAGAGGGUGACCGGCCACAUUGGGACUGAGACACGGCCCAAACUCCUACGGGAGGCAGCAGUGGGGAAUAUUGCACAAUGGGCGAAAGCCUGAUGCAGCGACGCCGCGUGAGCGAAGAAGUAUUUCGGUAUGUAAAGCUCUAUCAGCAGGGAAGAAAAUGACGGUACCUGACUAAGAAGCACCGGCUAAAUACGUG